This 433-nucleotide ribosomal RNA is filed under the name uncultured bacterium. RNAcentral describes it as "partial 16S ribosomal RNA". It matches the Rfam family "Bacterial small subunit ribosomal RNA", at positions 29 to 507 of the family's 1533-position model. The record is from RNAcentral.
AACGAACGCUGGCGGCAUGCCUAACACAUGCAAGUCGAACGAGACCUUCGGGUCUAGUGGCGCACGGGUGCGUAACGCGUGGGAACCUGCCCUUAUGUUCGGGAUAACUCCCCGAAAGGGGUGCUAAUAGCGGAUCAUGGCUUCGGACCAAUGAUUUAUCGCCUUUGGAUGGGCCCUCGUUGGAUUAGCUAGUUGGUAGGGUAAAAGCCUACCAAGGCGAAGAUCCAUAGGUGGUCUGAGAGGCUGAUCAGCCACACUGGGACUGAGACACGGCCCAGACUCCUACGGGAGGCAGCAGUGGGGAAUAUAGGACAAUGGGCGGAAGGCUGAUCCAGCAAUGACGCGUGAGUGAUGAAGGCCUUAGGGUUGUAAAGCUCUUGUACCCGGGAUGAUAAUGACAGUACCGGGAGAAUAAGCCCCGGCUAACUCCGUG